GGGCCCGCAGGAGCUGCCUCAGGAGCAGCUGAGCGGCGUGUCGCAGGAGUUCUGCUUCCGGUCCCCAAAGAUGGCUGACGGACCAAAAGUGUAUAAGAAGACCUGUGCCAAUGAGAAGUUAUCCAUCUACCUGGGAAAGCGAGACUUUGUGGAUCACGUGGAAUCUGUGGAACCUGUUGAUGGAGUUGUUUUGCUAGACCCAGAAACCGUGAGUGACAGGAAAGUCUAUGUGACCCUCACAUGUGCAUUCCGGUAUGGUCGAGAUGACCUGGAUGUCAUUGGGUUGACCUUCAGGAAGGAUCUCUAUGUCCUCACAACUCAACUUUACCCACCAGUGCCAGACCAGGCUCCGAAGACUCUCACACCCUUACAGGACAAGUUGAUGAAGAAGUUAGGAGAACAUGCUUACCCGUUCACCUUUGAGAUGGCGACCAAUCUGCCCUGUUCAAUCACACUGCAGCCAGGAGCAGAUGACACUGGAAAGUCCUGUGGUGUGGAUUUUGAGGUGAAGGCGUUUUGUGCUCAAGACCCAGAAGAGAAAAUUUCUAAGAAGAACUCCGUGCGGCUGGUCAUCCGGAAGGUGCAGUUCGCCCCCACCCUCACGGGCACCUCGCCCAAAACUCAAGUAAACAAGCAGUUCAUGAUGUCAGACAAGCCGCUGCACCUCGAGGCGUCCAUGGACAAGGAGAUUUAUUACCAUGGGGACCCGAUUGGAGUGAAUGUGGACAUAAACAAUACUACCAGCAAGAUUGUGAAGAAAAUUAAAAUAUCAGUUGACCAGCUGACAGAUGUGGUUCUCUAUUCCCUGGAUAACUAUACGAAGACGGUCUGCUCAGAGGAAUUUGUGGAGAACGUGGCUGCAAACUCCACUUUCUACAAAACGUUCACGGUGACUCCCUUGUUGUCCAAGAAUCGCGAGAAGCGUGGUUUGGCUCUGGAUGGGAAGCUGAAGCACGAGGACACCAACCUGGCUUCCAGCACCAUUCUGAGGCCUGGGAUGGACAAAGAGGUUCUGGGCAUCCUGGUUUCCUACAAAGUGAAGGUCACCUUGGUGGUAUCGAGAGGAGGCAUCCUGGGAGAUCUCACAUCAAGUGAUGUCUCUGUUGAGAUGCCGCUUAUCCUGAUGCAUCCUAAGCCCCCCGAAAGUAAGUGUUGUUUAGGAAGCCCCCCGGCCUCGCUGUCUCAAGACCAGGUGGCUUUGGGGGAAUGCCAGGCUCUGGGAAACGCUCCAGUUCUCCAAACUGGAAUCAGCCACAGGCCCCCCUCCUUCAGUGAUGGGAGAAAUCCAGGGGCCACUGAUGGAGUUGGGGGCGGAUGCGAAGGGCCUAUCUUUGGGGGUACCCCGUCUCCCCAAAGGACCCAAAGCAGGCAGCAAAUGUCUGCUUUUGGGGGAGGAUUUCAUGCUGCUCUUAGAAAUGGACAUUGGAACUAGGUUGUUAAUAGAGAUGCGCUUUCCCCAUUCUUAAAAGCAUAAAAAAGGCUGCCUGGAACACAUUGGCCUCUCCCUUCCUUCCAGCAGAGGAGGUGGGGGAGAGGAGUGAAGGAGACCCCCAAACCUUCGAAAGUGGCCCCUCCCUGCCCUGCCCUUGCGGGGAUCAGCUUCUCCCAGCAACAAGCAGGACCUGCUGGGGACUCCGGUUCAUGGGCCCUUCAAACUCUCUGGUCCAGUGGAGCCAAAGGAUCACUAUGGAUUACUGACUCACCUUUCCACAUCUCUGCUAAAAACACAUCUAGAUAUUCAGACUUAAUACAUGGCAGAUUUUACAGGGGAAAAAACUGCAGGGGGAAAAAAAAUCAAAACCCACUUUCUAGACUUCCAGCCAUCUUUUCAGAAGGGCAGGUAAGAGGGUCCCAAGACCAACCUGGGGAAUCAGAAUGAGACUCGGGGCGAACCACAGCCGAGGGGGUCGUGGUAACCAGGAGGCUGACAGGAAGGAGCUGCUUCCCGUCCCAGAGGGGCAACAGGCAGCCUCCCUCAGCUAGCCAUGGCCUCCCCUUCUCCCCACUCUCCCCGCGUCUCACUCCUUUGUGAGAAGAAUAUUGAAAUUCCAAGUCGGUGGAGGGCUGGAUUCCUCUCCUGAUUAUUUAAACCAGGGGUCUCCAACCUUGGCAACUUUAAGCCUGGCGGACUUCAACUCCCAGAAUUCCCCAGCCAGCAAAGCUGGCUUAAAGUUGCCAAGGUUGGAGACCCCUGGUUUAGGGGAGGUGCAAUUGAUUGGAAGUUCUCCCUAAAACCUUAAAGUUGCCAGGUUGGAGACCCCUUGAUUUAAACGCCUUUUUCAUUUUAUGAAAAUUCCGAGAAUUGAAGUCCUGAAAGUUGCGAAGGUUGAGACAUGCUGGUCUAAAGCAGAGAUUCUCAACCUUAGCAAGAUUUUUUUAUUUAUGAAAAAAAAAAUGAAAUGGGAUUCUUUUUCCAAGCCCGGCCUUCCAACCACUGGAUCAGUGGUGGGAUUCAGCCGGUUCGCACCACUUCGGGAGAACCGGUUGUUAACUUUCUGAGCAGUUUGGCGAACUGGUUGUUGGGAGAAGUCAUUAGGGCAGAGAACCGGUUGUUAAAUUAUUUGAAUCCCACCAUUGCGCUGGAUCCUUCCUCAUCCAAUGACCAGCCCCCUCUCAGUCGACUCUUCCCCCCCCCCCAGGAGUUCUGAUCAUUUUGGUGCCAAGAGAGGGAGCCUGACCACAUAUUUAAAUGGCACCAUUGAUGCUCCAGAAUGGAGUGGUUCCAACACCAGUGCCCGAAGGUAAACAAUAACACCCCUCUAACAAACAAAACACACACACACAAACAAAUACACACAUAUCAAUAAUUAGCAAGUGCAUCUAACUGCCAGAGCCCAAUGCUGGGGAAGCACCUGGACUUCCAGACCUUGCAAAAGCUAAGUUCCUUGAAUAAUCUCCUUUUUUUAUUGCCCCCGGCCCCACUGACAAGAGUUGUUUCAUGAGGGGCAAAUCCAGUGGUGGGAUUCAGCCAGUUCGCACUUAUUCGGGAGGACCGGUUGUUAUCUUUCUAAGUAGUUCGGAGAACCAGUUGUGGGAAGAAAUCUUAUUUUGUUUUUUUCCACUUUACAGGGCUAAUCCUGUAAGGAAGGCAGGAAGGAAACAUUCUGCUGGUGUUUCUAGCCUAACCUUUAUUGCCUUGCUUACAGAAACUGCCUCUCUGGUUAACCCUUAUUACAUUGUAACAGCUAAGGCGAAGCGCCCAUUGACCUGAGUGAUGUUGAGUUGGCCACGCCCACACAACCCUGAGCCACGCCUACCCAGCUGGUCAUUAGGGCAGAGAACCGGUUGUUAAAUUAUUUGAAUCCCACCAUUGGGCAAAUCCCAUCAGUUGGAGGGCUGCACCAGGCUGAAGGUUGACCUGAGAAGUGGACCUGCUUGCUUGGUGAUUCUGUGUGCGUUGGUGUGUGUGUGUGUUGCACCUGGCCAGCUAAUAGGUACAGAUGGGCAGGGAGUUUUUGUUCAAUUCAUUGUGAUUAAUGUGACUAAAUGGCACCUGCAUUUCUCUUUCAUCCUCUGCCUCUUCCUGAUUGACAGCAAUAACCAGCGAUGACAUUAUGGUUGAGGAAUUCGCCCGCCAGAAACUCGGAGGAGAAGGGGAAAGUGAGGACGAGGAGGAAGGAGGAAAAAGCUAAUGCUCAACUGUCUUCAGUAGGGGCUACUCCAGUGUUUCAAAGCCGAAAUUAUUUAGGGCAUUUUCAUGAGUUCCGUGCAUUUUACCUUAAUAUUUCAGUAUUGUGUUUGUAAUGUGAUAAUUUCUCGUAAGCCUAUUGUAAGGAUCGCCUCUCCUUCCAACUUAAGAAAGUAAGAACUCUUGAAAUGUGGUUGUUCAAAAGGAUUCUUUUAUUAAGCAGAAGUGAAAGCCAUCCAGUUAAAGCACGAUCUGGAUACCCUUAGGCAAGACAAAUAGGAUUAAGGCAGUAGAGACCCCUCCCUUUAAGCCAGAAUGCAGAUUUUAACCAAUACACAAGUGUGAAGAUGUUUUCUUUCCUAGCUUCCCUGAGAACCCGAACAACCGUGCAUUCACACUGUUAUCCUUUAAAGUGAAACAACCCACAUGGCUAUCAUGAACAUUCCUCCAGGUAAAGAGGAUCUCAGGGCUCUUUGGCACCAGGAUAUAGGUUGUAAAAUAUCUGUUGACACAGGCACUGCUAUUAAAUCGAAUCCAAGUCUCCCCCAUCCUUCAGUUUGAAUGGCAGUAUCACUUUUAGGGAUCUGACACCUAUUUUUUCCGCUGUGUUUAAUGCGUUUUGCAGAAGACUCGCUGUACUCCGAUGUUUUCCCCAUAAGCCUGAAAGCAUGAAGGAGAAAGCCAGCCACGCACCAAGGUGGCUCCUCCACUCCUUCAUUUUGCCUGCUUCCUUUCCCCAAGCCCGGCCUUCCAGCCGCUGGACCCUUCCUGAUCCAAUAAACAGUCCCCCCUCUCAAUUGACUCCCCCCCCCAGGAGAUUCUGAUCAUUUUAGUGCAGUUGGAGCUGACCUGACAACCCUUUCCUAAGAAUUAUUGGUAUUAUUGGAAAAAGCUGAUUAUCCAGAUAUCCUGUGAUUGUGUGAAUAAAUGUUACUCUAUCAAAA
This is a non-coding RNA of Pantherophis guttatus, 4572 nucleotides long. The record is from RefSeq and is a predicted model, not a curated record. NCBI's taxonomy places the organism in Eukaryota, Metazoa, Chordata, Lepidosauria, Squamata, Colubridae.